CGGAGAACUGCGAACGGG
RNAcentral lists this microRNA (18 nucleotides) under Gallus gallus (chicken). Its description in RNAcentral is "microRNA Ros-gga". The record is from RNAcentral. Lineage: Eukaryota; Metazoa; Chordata; Aves; Galliformes; Phasianidae.